UACGUAGGGACCGAGCGUUGUCCGGAAUUACUGGGCGUAAAGCGCGUGUAGGCGGCCCUGCAAGUCGGGUGUGAGAUCCCACGGCUCAACCGUGGAAGUGCAUUCGAAACUGCAGGGCUAGAGUCCUGGAGAGGAAGGUGGAAUGCUUGGUGUAGAGGUGAAGUUCGUAGAUAUCAAGCGGAACACCGGUGGCGAAGGCGGCCUUCUGGACAGUGACUGACACUGAGGCGCGACAGCGUGGGGAGCGAACCGG
RNAcentral lists this ribosomal RNA (253 nucleotides) under uncultured bacterium. RNAcentral describes it as "partial 16S ribosomal RNA". It matches the Rfam family "Bacterial small subunit ribosomal RNA", at positions 524 to 776 of the family's 1533-position model. The record is from RNAcentral.